GGGGGGCGGUUGGGGUUCACCGCCUCGUGCCGUACUGGCUUCUGGGUGGCCCUUAAUGUCUUGUGCUCUAAGGUGCUGAGGGGAAAGACGCGGGAGGUCUCUGGCCUGACACUAUGAAGGAAGAGAGAAACUACAACUUCGACGGUGUGAGCACCAACCGCCUGAAACAGCAGUUGCUGGAAGAAGUCCGCAAGAAGUAGUGAAUGGAAAACCCGUUAUGAGACACAACUUGAAUUAAAUGAUGAACUAGAAAAGCAAAUUGUUUAUCUCAAGGAGAAAGUGGAAAAAAUCCAUGGAAACUCUUCAGGAAUCCUUAAACACAUUACUUAAACAGCUAGAAGAAGAAAAGAAGACUCUUGAAAGUCAAGUGAAAUACUAUGCACUUAAACUGGAACAAGAAUCAAAGGCUUACCAGAAGAUCAACAAUGAACGCCGUACAUACCUAGCUGAAAUGUCUCAGGGUUCUGGUUUACAUCAAGUUUCUAAAAGGCAACAGGUGGAUCAACUGCCUAGGAUGCAAGAGAAUCUAGUGAAAACGUAA
RNAcentral lists this long non-coding RNA (541 nucleotides) under Homo sapiens (human). Its description in RNAcentral is "non-protein coding lnc-SPART-2:3". Lineage: Eukaryota; Metazoa; Chordata; Mammalia; Primates; Hominidae. The record is from RNAcentral.